Sebastes umbrosus (honeycomb rockfish) is the source of this 97-nucleotide long non-coding RNA. RefSeq lists it as uncharacterized. The record is from RefSeq and is a predicted model, not a curated record. NCBI's taxonomy places the organism in Eukaryota, Metazoa, Chordata, Actinopteri, Perciformes, Sebastidae. The transcript has 3 exons.
AUAAAAUCACAAAGAAUUAGAAUAUACGACUAAAAUUACAAUUUAUUCACUCAUUAUGUACCGAAAAUGUAACUUCCAUGGCCUCCGCCAUUUCAGA